This is a long non-coding RNA of Haemorhous mexicanus (house finch), 2938 nucleotides long. RefSeq lists it as uncharacterized. The transcript has 3 exons. The record is from RefSeq and is a predicted model, not a curated record. Lineage: Eukaryota; Metazoa; Chordata; Aves; Passeriformes; Fringillidae.
UUUACUGUCCAUGGUAUUAUCAAAAUAUAUCCAUGGGUAAAGUACAAAUGAAUAUUUUUCCAUCUCAAACUUGUUUUCAAAUGGGGGUUGGUGGGUUGACCGUGGCUUGCCAGGUGCCCACUAAAGCUGCUCUAUCAAUCCCCUCCACAACUGGACAUGGGAGAGAAAAUAUAUCAAAAGGUUCCUGGGCUGAGAUAAAGGCACAGAGAAAUCAUUUACCAGUUACCAUCGGGGCAAAACAGAGUCAACUUGGGGAAAUUCCUUUAUCACCAAUCAAAACAGGGUAGCACAAUGAGAAAUAAAAACUAAAUCUUAAAAACCCCCCCUGCCUUCUCUUCCUGGGUUUAGCUUUACUCCUGAAUUCUCUACCUCUUCUUCCCCAGUGGCAAGGGGAGGAGGGAGAUGAGGAAUGGUCAUCCUGAUACCAAAACCUGGCCAGAGAAAUCCAGUACUCAGAGGGCCUCAAAACACAUCCCAUGCAUGGGUUAAGUGCAGAAUUAAGAAGGGCUGGAGAGCUGGCUGAUGGGAAGACAAUGCAGGUGUUAUUGUAUGAAGCCUAUCGCUACUUUCUGCUGUCUCCAUCCUACAUGCCAGUAGGGAGUGAAGUAUGUUUUUGUCAAAAGCCCAAGUGAGUAGCAGGUACCUCAAGCCUUCAGACCAACACCAGGUGGCAUUUUAGCAGGCUGAGCUUCUCCUCACAGUGGAGGAGCACUUUUUUGCUAGGGCUGCUUUCUAUGGAGACCCAUCCUUGCACUUGGCUCCUGACACCUCUGGACACCCCAGUCCAGCAUCAACACUGCAGAACUGAGCAGGGAAUGUGACUUCCAAAUAUGAACAAAUUUAGAAGUGCAGCACGGAAUAUAGCAAUAGGUCCUAAAGGAUAAUCACAGAGUGGAAGGUCUCUGCUCUGGUUUUAAAAAAACUUAACCAAACAAACCAUGCAAACUGUAUAUACAGUGCCCAGCUUGUUCAACAAGUUUCUGAGGUGCUGGACUACAGUGUGCAGUGAGUGUGCUGGGCCAGUCCAGCAGCGAGCCAGCCAGCCACCCAGACAGAGCUCCCACAGGUCCAGCUCCAGCUCCCAGCCUGAGGCCCAGCUGGAAAAGAAAAAAAAUAUGAAUUCUGUCUCAUUCUGCUUACAUGGUGACUCACGGGAGUUCUGGCAGAGGCAGAACUCUGAAAUGUCUAAAGGGCAGCAGGUGAAGAACGUGGAGCUUCCUACACCUUCCUUCAUGACAAAUCAAACCAUGUUCACCUUCCUGUUCAGGUCAGCAGCAGUACCUUGGCAGUCAUUCCAAGCUUCCCUUCUGCUGCUGAAGAGUUAUCUCGUAACAUAAUAAAAUGGCCCUGCUGUGCCCUCCUGAUUUACAUCCCACAGUCCUCAGGAGAGAGGAAGGAGUUGCACUGCUUCAGCACAGGAGGUGGGAAGCACAGCAACCCCUCAGUCUGUCAGUUCCAAGCAGCAAGACGGUCCUGAGAGCACACCUGCAGACAGCAGUAUCUGUACAAAGGGGCAGCAGAGUCCUUCUGUGCUUAGCCAAGCAACAGAACACACACAAACCAUGAACCAGUGCUGGGAUAAUGCAGGGAGGAAGCACGUAUCAGAAACAACUCUCUGAAAAGAAAUGUGGCUUCAUCAAACACUGCUGAAGUCUCCCACGGGACAGUAGUCAAACGAGUAAAGAAACUCAGGAACUCCUGGUAUUACCAAGCACCAGGUACUAAGCCUGGGGGGAGGAUGCUGGAUGGCACGGGCACAAGGAGACACAUUUGCUUAGAAGAAGCUGAACUUGUGACAAAACCAUGACUCUGCUACACCGUGGGCCAACACCCGUGUGCAGCCCAGCGCUGCGUGCGAGCCCUGCUGGCUCUGGCAGGGUUUACUGACAGCCCAGCCACGGACAAAGCGCUGGAUUUGAUAGGUCAUGCAAGUGAACACCUCUCAGGGCUGUAUUCCCGCUGCCUCCAACAAACACAAGCUGUCAGGGACUUACUCAGAAGGAAACACAUGGAGAUGCCAGUUCCCCAGGGAUUUCUGCAACCACGCUCAUGAACCGAGUGUUAAGGCUGAAUAAAAUGCAAAGUGCCACCACAUGAGCAGAGAAGUUGACUGAUGGAUUUGAUUGAUUCCUUUUAAAUUAAUCACAUACUUUCUCUCUAGUACAAUUCCCUGCCUAAGCCACCAGACAGAUGUUCUUUAUUCUUCAAAUGUGCACUUCAGUCUGAUCCCUGUAUAAAAUUGAGAAGCAAAAUUUCACUCUCAGGAGCUUUGCUUUGGGUAUUAUUCAUGCUGGCUGGUGGGUGACCUGUGAGGGCUCCUGUGCGCUGGGACAGGGUGAGCCCAUGGGAAAGGGGUAAUUCAAGGUGAUACACUGAGUGUCAACACACUCAUUGAUUGUGAGAGAGGGGAAGGAACAGGGGCAAAAUGCACACAACAACAGUUUUUCAAAUGAUGUACUGAAUUUGCUUUGCUAAGAUGUCCAUUUUCCAGCAAUAAAGGCAAGCAAGCUAAGUCAGAGAAAAAGAAAAGGUCUUAAAGAAAGGAGGCCCAGCUUAGCACUGAGAAGAGAUUUUUCAUAAUAAUUUUUAGACAGUCCUAUCCAUAUCUCCUGUAAAGUAGAAUCAGCCAGGUCUCACAGUUACGCCUUGGUUUACUUCUAAUUAGGCAUGAGUAGGUAAAAACAGUAAAAUCAGCUUUACAUUCAAAAUUACUUUGAUGGACACAGGAGUCCACAGGAGUAACAGCAGAGUGAACAAAGGGGUAAGAUUUUAGAAGAUGGGCACAGCAUUUUGUCACAUGGCAUCAGUUACAAAUCUGGAAUAAGGUUAGUUAGAAUAAAUAAGGUAGAUAUUGGAGAUACAUCUUCUUGGCAGUUCUUUGUGACAGUCUAUUGUUCUUAGUCUGUACAUUUUUAUCACCUCCACACAGUUUGUUUAA